RNA transcript from Ostrinia nubilalis (European corn borer), 1858 nucleotides. It is a transcript of the gene named keratin-associated protein 10-5-like, with no coding region annotated. The transcript is spliced from 5 exons. Lineage: Eukaryota; Metazoa; Arthropoda; Insecta; Lepidoptera; Crambidae. The record is from RefSeq and is a predicted model, not a curated record.
AAUUUGACACUAAUAGAUAUAAAAUUUUCAGAAAAACAUCCAAAAUUUUUUGUGAAAAUUAAAAAUAUUAUGGUAUAAAAUUUUAAAGUAAAUUAAAUAAAAAGAUUUGAAAAACAUGGCCUGCUGCUAUCCAGAGGAUUGUGGGGAGUAUGCUGUGACGCCGAUGCUGAUAGCGCCUUGUUUGCCGACGAAGUGUUGCGAGGACCCGCCAGUGUGUUAUCCUUGCUUGCCGCGAUGUCCUAAAGGGCAGAUGGUGUAUUGUUGCGAGAAGCGGCCUCCACCCAGACAGUCUCAGAGCUGUGAGAGCGACGAAGGUUGUUGUGACCCGCCACCAGCGCCGCGGCAGAAAUGCUCCCGACCACCACCCGCCCCUCGCCAGUCCUCAUCUUGUGCAGCACCUCCCAACUGCUGCCCGACCUGCUGCAGGCCAAUGAAAACAAAAUACGUCAUCCCUUGCUAUCGAUAUGAAGAUGGACGUAUUGAACAGUACGUUCCGACACGUCACGGUAGGCUUCCCAUGACAGCGUACCAACGGAACGGAAUUCAGGAUCAAAUUCAUGGGUAUAGAGGGGCGAUCCGAUACUUAUGUGCAGGAGAGGGCCCGAGAGGCUGUUGUGUUUACACCGCAGUCGAACCAAUCAAGAGACUAUUUCCUAAAGUCACACAAGAAGUCCUGCCUGUUAAAAGGAAAAAGGAUAAGAAGUGAAAAUAGAAUCCCAAAAAAUCUAUUUGUUUACGUUGUCGCGUGAUUAGUCUUGAUAUAAGUAAGGCGACAAUUUCAAUGCCCGCCAGGUAAAUCCACUGCCAUCUUCUGCACUUAAGCGAAAUGGACUUCAAGACCAAAAGUUUAUAGAGAGCGGUGGUAUUUCAUACAUUCGCAAGUCCUGGCGCGAAGCGAUAUGGAGCUACUGUCCUAUAACAAUACCAGUCAAACCAAUGAAGAAACUUCCCGUCUUUGUUACUAAGAAGUGAUGUCUGCCUGCUCCCGUGGUGAAAACAUUGCCAGUGACUGCUUUCAAACGCAAUGGGAUGCAGGACCAGGAACACUCGAAGCUAUUGGGCACUACGAAUUUCCUCGUCAGACACCCGCGCGAUGUGUCCAUUGAGUGCGACAUUUGUACCAACCCAGUCAAAGUAGCGGACCCCGCAAAAGUGCCCCCAUGCCAAGCUAAGCCUGUGCUAGGCUGCGGCUUACUGAAAAAGAAACCAAUAGAAGUGUCGCUAGAAGACAUAUUAGACGAUUGAAACAUUUUCUCGCGUGCACUGGGCUAGACCUAAGGAAAUGAGUUGAAACGAAUGUUUUGACAUGUGAGUCAUUGCGCCUCGAGGAAUGAAGGCGCCGAAAUAAACGGGUUUGUCCACGUAAGCGGAUUUUCAGCAGUACAAUGUGCGAAAGGGUCAAACUAAUGUUUGGAUUUGUCAAGAUGGAAAUUUCGUACUAACCAGCCGACGUUGCUGAUGCGGCGCGCCUGCGAGGUCGCGGUCGGAGCGCGCCAGCGCCGCAAGCCCUUCGUGCUGUCCACCUACAGCGCCGACCCCUACAACGUGGAGCAGCGCUACCACUGUGAAGAUGAACGGGGUAACUGUUGUUUUCACUUCGAAAGAAAGAAGCCCAUGUCCAGCUGCUGCUCGCUAGUGCCAAGCCACCACCACCACCACCCGUGCCCCGCGUGUCAACCCUGCGUCUCUAGUCCACAGUGCCAGUACACCGAUUGUGUGCAUGCCCGGGUGGUCGAUUCUACCUGGAAUCGGCCAUCCUGUUGUUAUUAUUGUUGAUGGUUUUGUUGAUCGAAAUCUUUUGUGAUUGUCUGUGCCUAAACAAUUUGGCGGCUGUGUUAUUAAAGUUUGUAUUUAAUUA